UCCUCACUUCGAGGACCAAGGUGAGACCUAGCAAAGGGCUCUGACGCCUCUUUUUUUCGCUCUUUAACAAUUUGGAAUGAUCCGUCUAUUGAGGUCCUCGAGGACCUCAAUAAACGUCGCACUGUAUCUAUGCCAUAGGCCUCAGACUUUUUGGGGUUAUAUGGUCAAGCGAAUAAGCGCAUAUGGUGGAUACCUAGGCACACAGAGA
This 208-nucleotide unclassified non-coding RNA is filed under the name uncultured organism. Its description in RNAcentral is "partial contains 16S-23S ribosomal RNA intergenic spacer and 23S ribosomal RNA". The record is from RNAcentral.